UCUGCAAUAGGCAAAUAAAA
This 20-nucleotide small nuclear RNA is filed under the name Arabidopsis thaliana (thale cress). Its description in RNAcentral is "snRNA_18632". Lineage: Eukaryota; Viridiplantae; Streptophyta; Magnoliopsida; Brassicales; Brassicaceae. The record is from RNAcentral.